Molecule: ribosomal RNA, 487 nt
Filed under: uncultured bacterium
Lineage: Bacteria
Description: bacterial SSU rRNA
Rfam family: Bacterial small subunit ribosomal RNA
Source: RNAcentral
AUGAACGCUAGCGAUAGGCUUAACACAUGCAAGUCAAGGGGCAUCACGAGGUAGCAAUACUUUGGUGGCGACCGGCGUACGGGUGCGUAACACGUAUGCAACCUUCCUGUAAGUGUGGGAUAGCCUCCUGAAAGGGAGAUUAAUACCUCAUGAUAUGUAUUUGCUGCAUGGCAUUUACAUUAAACAUUUAUGGCUUACAGAUGGGCAUGCGUUCCAUUAGGCAGUUGGUGUGGUAACGGCUCACCAAACCUACGAUGGAUAGGGGUUCUGAGAGGAAGGUCCCCCACACUGGAACUGAGACACGGUCCAGACUCCUACGGGAGGCAGCAGUGAGGAAUAUUGGUCAAUGGGCGCGAGCCUGAACCAGCCACGUCGCGUGAAGGAUGACGGCCUUAUGGGUUGUAAACUUCUUUUACGAGGGGAAAUAAAGUGAGUCACGUGUGAUUUUUUGCAUGUACCCUGUGAAUAAGCAUCGGCUAACUCCGUG